This 639-nucleotide long non-coding RNA is filed under the name Marmota monax (woodchuck). Lineage: Eukaryota; Metazoa; Chordata; Mammalia; Rodentia; Sciuridae. The record is from RNAcentral.
CUCAUUUUUUGGCAUAUUGUCCUUUACCAUUAAUGUUUAUUAUUUUAAUAGGUUCAAAUUUCCAUUUUUCUCUAAAGUUAUAGAAUAUGAUAUGUAACAUUUCUUCUAAUUCCUAUAAUAACUUUUCUUCUAAUGUAUAUUUCCUUUCACAUUACUCCUAAUUAGUUUUUAUCUUUUCUUUUCCUACUCUUAAAGCCAAAAUUGUAAGAUCUGUUCAUGAGUCUCAGAUGGGAUGCUUUUGCUCACAGAUUUUAGCAUAGAAAAGGUACCAGUCAAACCCAUAGUACUUAAUCUGGAGAAAGUAGUUAAAUUCUCCUUGAGCCCUCCUCUGCCUGCCGCCUGUUCUCUCUCUCCUUCUCUUCUCUACUCUCUUUUCAUUUUAAUCUAUGGGCUAUAUUUGGGCCCUUUCAUAUUUCUGGACUUCUAUUCCUUUCUUACAAGGAACUCUGGACAGGACUUUUAAAAUCUCUUCUAGCUUUAGGUUACAUGUAUCCAAAUCUGCAGGUAUUUUUGAGAACAUAUUAUUAUCUCUUAAGAAUUAUUUAAUCCCAUCUGAAAGUCAAGAUUGGAUGAAAGAGUCCUGAAAUCUACUUUCUUAUAUAUUUUCCCUGAAUGUGACUAGUUCUCAUAUCAUUUUUG